RNAcentral lists this non-coding RNA (30 nucleotides) under Rattus norvegicus (Norway rat). Lineage: Eukaryota; Metazoa; Chordata; Mammalia; Rodentia; Muridae. The record is from RNAcentral.
UCUCAUUUUCUGCCUUUCUAAUCUUGAAGC